GGAAGUAAAAGCGUAACAAGGUUUCCGUAGGUGAACCUGCGGAAGGAUCAUUCAUAAUAAAGUGUUUUAUGGCACUUUUUAAAAAUCCAUAUCCACCUUGUGUGCAAUGUUAGAUCUCGUCAAUCUUGGCGAGAUUUUUAUACAUCAACUCAUUCUUUAACUAAUUUGUCUGAAAAAUAUUAUGAAUACUUAAUUCAAAAUACAACUUUCAACAACGGAUCUCUUGGCUCUC
RNAcentral lists this unclassified non-coding RNA (232 nucleotides) under plant metagenome. RNAcentral's name for it is "partial contains small subunit ribosomal RNA, internal transcribed spacer 1, and 5.8S ribosomal RNA". The stretch from base 1 to 53 matches the Rfam family "Eukaryotic small subunit ribosomal RNA", at positions 1778 to 1831 of the family's 1831-position model. The record is from RNAcentral.